RNAcentral lists this transfer RNA (69 nucleotides) under Myersina filifer. RNAcentral's name for it is "tRNA-Ala". It matches the Rfam family "tRNA". From Rfam's summary of the family: Transfer RNA (tRNA) molecules are approximately 80 nucleotides in length. Their secondary structure includes four short double-helical elements and three loops (D, anti-codon, and T loops). Lineage: Eukaryota; Metazoa; Chordata; Actinopteri; Gobiiformes; Gobiidae. The record is from RNAcentral.
AAGGCUUUAGCUUAAUGAAAGUAUUUGUUUUGCAUACAAAAGAUGUGGGUUAAUGUCCUGCAAGUCUUA